GGCCUACGGGACGCAGCAGUGAGGAAUAUUGGUCAAUGGGCGGGAGCCUGAACCAGCCAAGUCGCGUGAAGGAAGAAGGUACUUAGUAUUGUAAACUUCUUUUGUCGGGGAACAAAGGCGGAGACGCGUCUCCGGAUGAGUGUACCCGAAGAAAAAGCCCCGGCUAACUACGUGCCAGCAGCCGCGGUAAUACGUAGGGGGCAAGCGUUAUCCGGAUUUACUGGGUGUAAAGGGGGCGCAGACGGCAAUGCAAGCCAGGAGUGAAAGCCCGGGGCCCAACCCCGGGACUGCUCUUGGAACUGCAU
Molecule: ribosomal RNA, 305 nt
Filed under: uncultured bacterium
Lineage: Bacteria
Description: bacterial SSU rRNA
Rfam family: Bacterial small subunit ribosomal RNA
Source: RNAcentral